GGAUCGAUGAUGAUUUCCCAUCAAACAUUCCUUGGAAAAGCUGAACAAAGUGAAUUUAAACUCUGUACUGCAGUUCUCAUUGAAACUGACGUCC
Small nucleolar RNA from Peromyscus eremicus (cactus mouse), 94 nucleotides. RefSeq annotates it as small nucleolar RNA SNORD116. Lineage: Eukaryota; Metazoa; Chordata; Mammalia; Rodentia; Cricetidae. The transcript has a single exon. The record is from RefSeq and is a predicted model, not a curated record.